GGAAUGAAUGAAUUUAUAAAAUUAAAGCUUUAUUUAUUUUAUUAAUAAAACUUAAUAUAUUAGUGAAGAAGCUAAUAUUAUUUUAUAGGACAAGAAGACCCUAAUGAUUUUUAUUUAAAUAAUUUAUUUAAAUAGUAUUAUAUUUUAGUAUAGUUAAUAGAAUUUUACUGGGGCGGUAAUAUUAUAAAUUAAUAUAUUAACUUAUAUAGUUAUUAAUGAUUUUAUCUAUAUAAUGAUCCUUUAUAAUGAUUAAAAGAACAAAAUACCAUAGGGAUAACAGGCUUAUUAAUUUAGAUAGUUUAUAUUGAAAAAUUAGU
This 317-nucleotide ribosomal RNA is filed under the name Tomopteris sp. USNM IZ 1181815. Its description in RNAcentral is "partial large subunit ribosomal RNA". The record is from RNAcentral. Lineage: Eukaryota; Metazoa; Annelida; Polychaeta; Phyllodocida; Tomopteridae.